Molecule: long non-coding RNA, 361 nt
Organism: Quercus lobata
Lineage: Eukaryota; Viridiplantae; Streptophyta; Magnoliopsida; Fagales; Fagaceae
Exons: 3
Source: RefSeq, a predicted model, not a curated record
GGAACAUUAAAGCUAAAGAGAAUCUUGCUGCUGUGAAGCAGAACUUGAGAACCUGCCUCCAUAUUAGAUUAUUCAUUUUGGUUUUCUCUUAUCUUGUCCAAGACCAGAAAGAUAGAAGUUGAUUUAGCAUCUGUUAAUAUCCAAACAAUUGAAGAUGUACUUUGCACGGGUGGAGAACUUUGUUCUUUGAGAUACGACUUAACCGUACCAUUUGCUAGGUAUGUGGCUAUGAAUGGUCUCACAUGGAUUAAAAAGUACCAGAUAGCUAAGGUUUACAGGAGGGACAACCCAUCUAAGGGAAGAUACCAUGAAUUUUACCAGUGCGAUUUAGAGCGUAGGCACGUCACUAUCGGGAAUUUUA